Entelurus aequoreus (snake pipefish) is the source of this 958-nucleotide long non-coding RNA. RefSeq lists it as uncharacterized. The record is from RefSeq and is a predicted model, not a curated record. Lineage: Eukaryota; Metazoa; Chordata; Actinopteri; Syngnathiformes; Syngnathidae. The transcript has 5 exons.
UUUAUCUGAUCACCGGCUUGUUUUCUAGCCGAAGAUCUUGGCUUUGUAUUAGGAGAGUUACAAAAACUGCAGAACCAUAAGUGAGCUUUUGCAUAUGGGGUUUGAGUUUGAGUUGCUAAGCAUUGUGUUCAACCCUGUAACUACAAGUAGACUAUUUGCAGCAGAGUACCGGUAAUCAGUAAUAGGGAAAAUAGUUAUGUGCGUCAUUGUCGGUGUGUCACAUGCCCACCUCCUCCUGCUGAGAUGCUUACAUUAGCAUGCAGGAUCAUGAUGGGCAUACCAGGUGUCUGUACUCUCAUUCUGUGCGUGUGUCCAUCUAUCCAUCCUUCCAUCCUUCCAUCCAUGCGUCGACAGAGCGCUGAAUGGGCACAGAGGGGUGUGCUCUCACAGACUCCAUAGCGGCAGCAGUGACAUGAGGAACAUCUCCUCGGCUGGACGUCUGCACUGAGAGAGGAAGAAGAGGAAGGAAAAAGUGCCCGAGUUUUCAAUCAGAAGUGAUCCUUCAGCUGUGUAGUCAGCCAUGGAGCAGAAGACGAAUGAGUGCACAACCAGCACCUCUCCCCAGAAGCACAUGAAGAACAGAUCCAAAUCUACAGACGAGACACAACAGACCAAGAGGGCUUUUUCCUCACAAAAAUCUCUCCCAGGCAGACCACAGCUGGACAGAGUGAAGGAGUGCCUUGAUGGUUCGGAGACGCCAUCAUCCUCCACUGAGGAGCUUAAGUGAUCAAACCACCUGAUGAAUGACGUCACCAACAUAAUCCUAUAAAUGUACAUUUGUAUACUCGGAACACUCAACAAGUAAGAUCACUAAGCAAAAGCCAACAAUGUACUGUAGAAAGUAAAAAGAAAUAAUGUGACAUGAUGUAACGUAUGUGCUUUUACGACAAUUGCAUGUAGAACAAAAACGGUGUUUUUUAUUGUUAACAUUCGAAUACAAUAAAGUGGUGAUAAUGAC